This 224-nucleotide ribosomal RNA is filed under the name uncultured bacterium. RNAcentral's name for it is "partial 16S ribosomal RNA". It matches the Rfam family "Bacterial small subunit ribosomal RNA", at positions 524 to 747 of the family's 1533-position model. The record is from RNAcentral.
GACAGAGGCCCCAAGCGUUAGGCGGAAUCACUGGGCUUAAAGCGUGUGUAGGCGGAUCGUUAAGUGUCUUGUGAAAUCCCACGGCUCACCCGUGGAACUGCUGGGCAUACUGGCGAUCUUGGGCCAACUAGGGGCAGCCGGAACAAGCGGUGGAGCGGUGAAAUGCGUAGAUAUCGCUUGGAACGCCAAAGGUGAAAACAGGCUGCUGGGGUUGUGCCGACGCU